RNAcentral lists this ribosomal RNA (259 nucleotides) under uncultured bacterium. Its description in RNAcentral is "partial 16S ribosomal RNA". It matches the Rfam family "Bacterial small subunit ribosomal RNA", at positions 524 to 776 of the family's 1533-position model. The record is from RNAcentral.
UACGAAGGGGGCGAGCGUUGUUCGGAUUUACUGGGCGUAAAGGGCGCGCAGGCGGCCGCUCAAGUCAGGCGUGAAAGCCCCGGGGCUUAACCUGGGAGGUGCGUCUGGGACUGGGUGGCUGGAGAUCGGGAGAGGAGAGGUGGAAUUCCCGAGUGUAGAGGUGAAAUUCGAUAGAUAUUGGGAAGGAACACCGGUGGCGAAGGCGGCUCUCUGGACCGAUACGUGACGCUGAGGCGCGAAAGCGUGGGGAGCAAACAGG